UAACAAGGAUUCCCCUAGUAACUGCGAGUGAAGCGGGAAAAGCUCAAAUUUAAAAUCUGGCGGUCUUUGGCCGUCCGAGUUGUAGUCUGGAGAAGUGCUUUCCGCGCUGGACCGUGUACAAGUCUCUUGGAACAGAGCGUCGUAGAGGGUGAGAAUCCCGUCUUUGACACGGACUACCAGUGCUUUGUGAUGCGCUCUCAAAGAGUCGAGUUGUUUGGGAAUGCAGCUCAAAAUGGGUGGUGAAUUCCAUCUAAAGCUAAAUAUUGGCGAGAGACCGAUAGCGAACAAGUACCGUGAGGGAAAGAUGAAAAGCACUUUGGAAAGAGAGUUAAACAGUACGUGAAAUUGCUGAAAGGGAAACGCUUGAAGUCAGUCGCGUCGUUUGGAACUCAGCCUUGCUUUUGCUUGGUGCACUUUCUGAACGACGGGCCAGCAUCGAUUUUGACCGUCGGAAAAGGGCUAGAGUAAUGUGGCACCCUCGGGUGUGUUAUAGACUCUGGUCGCAUACGACGGUUGGGAUCGAGGAACGCAGCGCGCCGCAAGGCAGGGGUUCGCCCACUUUCGCGCUUAGGAUGCUGGCAUAAUGGCUUUAAACGAC
This 598-nucleotide ribosomal RNA is filed under the name Yuchengia narymica. RNAcentral's name for it is "eukaryotic LSU rRNA". It matches the Rfam family "Eukaryotic large subunit ribosomal RNA", at positions 66 to 648 of the family's 3401-position model. The record is from RNAcentral. Lineage: Eukaryota; Fungi; Basidiomycota; Agaricomycetes; Polyporales; Polyporaceae.